RNAcentral lists this ribosomal RNA (492 nucleotides) under uncultured bacterium. RNAcentral describes it as "partial 16S ribosomal RNA". It matches the Rfam family "Bacterial small subunit ribosomal RNA", at positions 29 to 507 of the family's 1533-position model. The record is from RNAcentral.
AGUGAACGCUGGCGGUAGGCCUAACACAUGCAAGUCGAACGGCAGCACAGUGAGAGCUUGCUCUUACGGGUGGCGAGUGGCGGACGGGUGAGGAAUACAUCGGAAUCUACUUUUUCGUGGGGGAUAACGUAGGGAAACUUACGCUAAUACCGCAUACGACCUACGGGUGAAAGCAGGGGAUCUUCGGACCUUGCGCGAUUGAAUGAGCCGAUGUCGGAUUAGCUAGUUGGCGGGGUAAAGGCCCACCAAGGCGACGAUCCGUAGCUGGUCUGAGAGGAUGAUCAGCCACACUGGAACUGAGACACGGUCCAGACUCCUACGGGAGGCAGCAGUGGGGAAUAUUGGACAAUGGGCGCAAGCCUGAUCCAGCCAUACCGCGUGGGUGAAGAAGGCCUUCGGGUUGUAAAGCCCUUUUGUUGGGAAAGAAAAGCAGCAGGUUAAUACCCCGCUGUCCUGACGGUACCCAAAGAAUAAGCACCGGCUAACUUCGUG